UAAGCUGAUUCUGUUUCUAGACUCUCUUAACCAUUGUGUACUAUACGAUGUUUUUUUUUUUUUUCAAACAAACUUUUUGUUCCAAUCUGGAAGCAAGAAAAAUCCUGUCUUCUGAGACUUUGGGGUAGUAGUUUGACAAAUGAAGAAAUCAGACCACAUACGCCAGCCGCACUCAUUUAGGAGUGCUUGUGUGCCAACUCCUCUGCUCGUGUGGUGAAGGUGUUAUGUCGCCUAGCAUGAGCAGAGUGCUGCACACGCCUGCCAUGCAGCUGUAAACAGUGGGGGCUCGCCGGGCUCAGGGUGCAUGCAUCUGUGCACAGCCUGCUUUCAUGUUUCCACUCCACACUCAAAGCAGAAGUACCAGGCGGUGAGGAAGAGAAAGCUGAGAACGUACCCAUGAGCUGAUGUCCAUCUCGAGCUCCACUGCAUGGGUGUUUCCACUCUCCAGCACUCGUAUACGUUUCCUACAUCAUCUUCCGUUAUGACUUUAUAGCACAUGGCUCCACAUUUCCCCUAACAACUGGGCUGAGAUUAUUGAUCAGCUUUAUGAGCAAGCAUGAAGAAAUUUUGUAGAGUAACCUGAUGCAGAGGCAGACGGGCUUCUUUGAAGCAUUACUGCAACAUUUGCUAACAGAGAGCAAGGAUAAAACAAUAGGAACACCCCAGCAAGAUGAAUUUGUUCUGUUUAUGCUUCAGCAUGUGCUCAUGUGGCAUUUGACAAGUACAGGAGACUUCAAAGAUGAUCAGCAAAUGGAAUCCAUGAAGAUUGGCCUCUACCCUCUCUCCAGUGAAGUGCUUGCUGUGUAAGCCACUGCAGUUUGUCUCUCUCUCCCCUGAAUGACGUGUGACUCUUUCAGUGAGGUCCCUGUGAUUCUCAUCCGAUACUGAAACUGCUGAGAGCAGCUGGAGGAGCAAGGGCAUUUUGAUUGCCCCAUGCUGUAGAUCGAAGCCUACUUGUUAAUUACAGUGUAUUAACUGAAACCAUGUAUGCAUUUUUGUUAGUUUUGCUAAACUCAACAGUUGUGCCAAUGAUAGAUCUCUCUCGAAACAGGAA
RNAcentral lists this long non-coding RNA (1054 nucleotides) under Apteryx rowi (Okarito brown kiwi). RNAcentral's name for it is "lncRNA (ENSARWG00000012405.1)". The record is from RNAcentral. Lineage: Eukaryota; Metazoa; Chordata; Aves; Apterygiformes; Apterygidae.